RNAcentral lists this RNase P RNA (378 nucleotides) under Mucilaginibacter sp. OK283. Its description in RNAcentral is "Bacterial RNase P class A". It matches the Rfam family "Bacterial RNase P class A". From Rfam's summary of the family: Ribonuclease P (RNase P) is a ubiquitous endoribonuclease, found in archaea, bacteria and eukarya as well as chloroplasts and mitochondria. Its best characterised activity is the generation of mature 5'-ends of tRNAs by cleaving the 5'-leader elements of precursor-tRNAs. Lineage: Bacteria; Pseudomonadati; Bacteroidota; Sphingobacteriia; Sphingobacteriales; Sphingobacteriaceae. The record is from RNAcentral.
GCAAAACGUUCUAUCGCUGCUAAUUUAUUAGCGGAGGAAAGUCCGGGCAACACAGAGCAUCCUGCUUCCUAACGGGAAGGCGCCGGCAGCCGGCGACAGCAAAGUGCCACAGAGAAAAUACCGCCACGGUGCAAACCGGGGUAAGGGUGAAAACGUGAGGUAAGAGCUCACGGCUUUUCCGGGCGACCGGAGAUGACGGUAAACCUCAGGAGUUGAAAAACCAAAUAGGUCUUGAAAGUGGGGCUGCUCGCUCCCGCUCGCCAACUUGUUGGCGACGUUAAGAUGGGUAGGUUGUUUAAACCUGUCAGCAAUGGCAGGGCCAGAUUAAUGAUAGAAGUUGCCUUUAGGGGCAAUACAGAACCCGGCUUACAGGUUUGC